CCUACGGGAGGCAGCAGUGGGGAAUAUUGGGCAAUGGGCGCAAGCCUGACCCAGCAAUGCCGCGUGAAGGAAGAAGGCUUUCGGGUUGUAAACUUCUUUGACAGGGGAAGAGCAGAAGACGGUACCCUGAAAACAAGCCACGGCGAACUACGUGCCAGCAGCCGCGGUAAUACGGAGGUGGCAAGCGUUGUCCGGAUUUACUGGGUGUAAAGGGCGUGUAGCCGGGAAGGCAAGUCAGAUGUGAAAUCUGGAGGCUCAACCUCCAAAUUGCAUUUGAAACUGUUUUUCUUGAGUACUGGAGAGGCAGACGGAAUUCCUUGUGUAGCGGUGAAAUGCGUAGAUAUAAGGAGGAACACCAGUGGCGAAGGCGGUCUGCUGGACAUCAACUGACGGUGAGGCGCGAAAGCGUGGGGAGCAAACAGGAUUAGAUACCCGGGUAGUC
RNAcentral lists this ribosomal RNA (442 nucleotides) under uncultured bacterium. RNAcentral describes it as "partial 16S ribosomal RNA". It matches the Rfam family "Bacterial small subunit ribosomal RNA", at positions 338 to 795 of the family's 1533-position model. The record is from RNAcentral.